AAAAUUCCCGCUAAAUAAAAAUUUUGAAAACAUUUUUCCCGUAAAUUUUUUUUUUUUUGCGGGAAAUAGAUUUACAAGGGAUUUUUAAAGGGUUUUAAAAUUUUUUAAAAGAUUUACAAGAGAUUUUAAAAGGGUUUAAAAGAUUUACAAGAGAUUUUAAAAGGGUUUAAAAGAUUUACAAGAGAUUUUAAAAGAGUUUUACAAGAUUUACAAGGGAUUUUAAAGGGGUUUAAAAGACUUACAAGAGUUUUUUAAAGAUUUUUAAAGGGUUUAAAAGUGUUUUAAAAUAUUUAUAAGAUUUAUAAGGGAUUUUUAAAGGGUUUUAAAAGAUGUACAAGAGUUCUUAAAAGAUUUUAAAAGAAUUUAUAAGAAAACCCUUUAAAAACUUUGGUAAAUCUUUUUAAAACCUUUUGUAAAGGUUCACAAGAGUUUUAAAAUGGUUCAAAUAAAGUUGUAAAUGUUUUAAAUACUUACAAUUCUCUUUCUAAGAGUUAAAAAAUGCUUGUAAAAACUUUAUAAGAGUUUUAAAAGCAUUUACAAAGGUUUAAAAUCCUUGUAAAUCAUUUUAAAACACUUUAAAAACUCUUGUAAAUCAUGUUUUACCUUUUUAUAAGCUUUUAAAAUCCUUGUAAUCAUUCUAUACCACUUACUUAUCCUUUAAAAACGAUUGUAAACCAUGCAAACCCUUUUUAAAAUCCCUUGUAAAUCAUUCUUUGAUACUUACUUAUGCUUUGAAAACGAUUGUAAAUCAUGUUAACCCCUUUUUAAAUCCCUUGUAAAUUAUUCAAUGCCACUUACUUAUGCUUUAAAACGAUUGUAAACCAUACAAACACUUUUAAAAUCCCUUGUAAAUUAUUCUAUGUCACUUACUUAUGCUUUAAAAACGAUUGUAAAUCAUGUUUUACCCUUUUAUAAGCUUUUAAAAUCCCUUGUAAAUCAUUCCAAUGCCACUUACUUAUGCUUAAAAAACAUUGUAAACCAUGCUAACCCUUUUUAAAAAUCCUUGUAAAUCAUUCUAUGCCACUUACCUAUGCUUUAAAAACGAUUGUAAAUCAUGUUUUACCCUUUUAUAAGCUUUUAAAAUCUCUUGUAAAUCAUUCAAUGCCACUUACUUAUGCUUAAAAAACGAUUGUAAACCAUGCUAACCCUUUUUAAAUCCCUUGUAAAUCAUUCUAUGCCACUUACUUAUGCUUUAAAACGAUUGUAAAUCAUGUUUC
Molecule: small RNA, 1217 nt
Filed under: Arabidopsis thaliana (thale cress)
Lineage: Eukaryota; Viridiplantae; Streptophyta; Magnoliopsida; Brassicales; Brassicaceae
Description: ATSL157150
Source: RNAcentral